Long non-coding RNA from Sinocyclocheilus grahami, 225 nucleotides. RefSeq lists it as uncharacterized. NCBI's taxonomy places the organism in Eukaryota, Metazoa, Chordata, Actinopteri, Cypriniformes, Cyprinidae. The transcript has 3 exons. The record is from RefSeq and is a predicted model, not a curated record.
UGCCUGGUUAGCAUAUUUCUGUGGCUGUCUGUAAUAAACACUUACCAUGGAGGGGAGAAACGAGAAGUUGUUCUCCAGGAAAAGAAGUUUCACAUUCGGAGCUUACGGAGGGAUUGACAAGUUCAUCACUGGAAAUGAGAGCAGCUGUGCAGAAUCUGUGGGUCACAGCAUACUGGAUAUUUUGGAUUCCCCCUCCAGUGAGGCUAAGCCACUCACUUCUGCACC